RNAcentral lists this ribosomal RNA (425 nucleotides) under uncultured archaeon. RNAcentral describes it as "partial 16S ribosomal RNA". It matches the Rfam family "Archaeal small subunit ribosomal RNA", at positions 323 to 746 of the family's 1478-position model. The record is from RNAcentral.
CUACGGGGGGCAGCAGCCAGGAAACUUCUACAAUGCGCGCAAGCGUGAUAGAGCAAGUCAGAGUGAUUUUCUAUAAUUGAAAAUCUUUUGUGAGAUUUAAAAAUUCUCACGAAUAAGGACUGGGAAAGACUGGUGCCAGCCGCCGCGGUAAUACCAGCAGUCCAAGUAGCAGCCACUUUUAUUGGGUCUAAAACAUCCGUAGCUUGUUUUGUAAGUCUCUUGUGAAAUCCGGCCUCUCAAGGGUCGGGCAUGCAAGAGAUACUGCUUUACUAGGGACCGGGAGACGUAAGGAGAACGGGACAGGGUACCGGUCAAAUGGGUUGAUCCUGUUUGGACUAACGAGAGCGAAGGCACCUUACGAGAACGGAUCCGACAGUGAGGGAUGAAGGCUAGGGUCGCAAAACGGAUUAGAUACCCUAGUAGUC